RNAcentral lists this ribosomal RNA (481 nucleotides) under uncultured bacterium. RNAcentral's name for it is "partial 16S rRNA". It matches the Rfam family "Bacterial small subunit ribosomal RNA", at positions 373 to 848 of the family's 1533-position model. The record is from RNAcentral.
GGGGGCACCCUUGAUCCCAGCAAUGCCGCGUGAGNGAAGAAGCCNUUCGGGUUGUAAAGNUNUUUUGUCAGGGAAGAAACAGCAGNUCUAACACAGUUGUGAAUGACGGUACCUGAAGAAUAAGCACCGGNUAANUACGUGCCAGCAGCCGCGGUAAUACGUAGGGUGCAAGCGUUAAUCGGAAUUACUGGGCGUAAAGCGUGCGCAGGCGGUUAUAUAAGACAGGUGUGAAAUCCCNGGGNUUANCCUGGGAAUUGCAUCUGUGACUGUAUAGCUAGAGUGUGUCAGAGGGGGGUAGAAUUCCACGUGUAGCAGUGAAAUGNGUAGAUAUGUGGAGGAAUACCAAUGGCGAAGGCAGCCCCCUGGGAUAACACUGACGNUCAUGCACGAAAGCGUGGGGAGCAAACAGGAUUAGAUACCCUGGUAGUCCACGCCCUAAACGAUGCUGACUAGUUGUUNGGGAUUUUAUCCCUGAGUAACG